Molecule: long non-coding RNA, 783 nt
Filed under: Homo sapiens (human)
Lineage: Eukaryota; Metazoa; Chordata; Mammalia; Primates; Hominidae
Description: novel transcript, antisense to EREG and MTHFD2L and EPGN
Source: RNAcentral
ACAGAGCAUCUCCAUCCUCCUCCCCGCGGUCAUCGGCGAUGGGAGCGGGCGCUGGGGCUUGGCGGAGGGCGGCUGCGGAGAGUGCACGGGCAGGGCGGGAGCAGACGGGCUCGCGGCAGUGGCUGGAGAGCGGCUGUCAGCCUAGAAGGGACCCCACGUUGGCUGUGUCCCUCUGACACUGGAAAUAUCAGAGAUGAGGUCUCCCUUUGUUGCCCAGCUGGUCUGAAAUUCCUGGUUUCAAGUGACCCUCACACGUCAGCCUCCUAAAGAGGUGAAGUUAUAAGCAUGAACCAUUGUGGCCAGCGGUGGGACUGAUCCUUACAAAGGUCUUGUGUGCUUCUUAUCUCUCUUGGAACCACGUCAUGGCCAUGAAAACAAGCUCAAGCUAGCCUACUGAAGGAUACAAGAACCAUAGAGGAAAGCUGAGUCACUUUAGCUGAGGCCAUAAUAGACUGAUCAGCCCCCUGCCAACAACCAGUGAUGGCAGAUGCUUGAUCGGGCCCCAGAAAGUUCAUCAGAAAUGAGUGAGUCAAGGUCACAAUAACUGAUCAGCUGAACCAUGGACUCAGGAAAAAUUUUUUUUAAAGGUAGUUGUUUGUUUUGUUUUUUAACAUACCAGUAGCUACAUAGCCCAUAUUGCAAAUGACAUCAAAUUGGACAGAAUGGUUACUGGGUUGUAAUUUUGGAAUGACGGAUUCUAAGUAUCAAGAAGAAUCUGAAUGGGAACAAAUGUAUAAUUCUCAUGAAGUGCUGUACUUGAUUAAAAACUCAAUACAAAACUAA